UCUAAUCUAACACCUAUCCACAAGUACACAAGGUUCACAUAACGAGAUGGGAUCUCAGUCCUCAUCCGGGUCGUAUUCGGGAUCAUCAUCCCAAUCCUCCUCAGACUCUUCUUCACUAAGUUCGUUUUCUUCAAGCUCUUCAUCCUCUGCUCGCUCGUCAUCAGGGUCAUCCAACAGACAAUCCUCCUCCGGUCCCUCUACGAACCUGAAAUGGUUAUUCAAUAACCCAUGAGACCACGUCUAAGCGAGUUCUACCCCUUAAGACCCGAUUAGUAAACCAAUACGCCAUAUGGUUGCCUAAGCACAACACGAGUCAGAGAACUUACCUUGGUCUCAGUCCCAACCUGUAAUUUAAGGUUAUACAAAGAUGCUUCAUAUAUCACAUCAAACAUUCAAUCAAUUCACGACAACAGAUCAAAUCGUUGAUCAAUCGACUUUGUCGAUUACAUGUCAGUCGAACCAUCUCUAAGUCAUUCCCACUCAUACCAUGAUUCCCAGAUGGUGUACUCAUUCACCAAAUCACAUGUGUUUCUCGGGUGUCGUUUUCGCCAAUGACAUACCGAUCACCGACACCGUGCGUUCUUUAAGUCGCCAUUUUCACCAGUGAUAUCCUCGAUCACCGAACCACGUGUCCUUUCUAGGGCGCCGUUUUCGCCAAGGUGACAUCGGCAAUAGACAACAUCGUGAGUUCUUUAAGGCGUCGUUUUCACCAGUGAUAUUUCCUUAAUCACCGAACCACGUUUGUCUAUAAGUCAUUCACGUGCGUUCUUUAAGGCACCGUUUUCACCAGUGAUACUUCCAAUUACCGAACCAAGUAUGUCCAAUAAUAUCGUACUUGAUUGGUCUCAUCCAAUAACAUUCUCAGUUAGCUCUCACCAUUCUCUCUACUAUAUAGCCCAUCAACGUAACUGGCACUAUAUACCUAUACUCGGCCAUCUACCAAUCAAAUAUUCAGUAACAAACAAUUUAGGACAAAUUCUCAAAUUUCACAAUUUACAUCAAUUCUAUAUAAAUUGAAGCUCAAUUAAAUAAACGAACUGCACCACGACAAUCAGCACGAAAUUCCGGUCACCGGCCAUCCCGAUUGAAUUUCUGGAAAAAUAAUUAAUUAAAUAAUUAAUUUAGAAAAUUAAAUAAAUAAAUAAUAAUAAAUCCAAUUUAGGCCCGUAUUGCCUGAUUGGAGCCUGAAACGGGUCGGGAAAACCCCGAGAUACAUUCAAUAAAUGUUAGAAGCUCUCUACUUGCUAGUGACUAAGUCUAACCACCUAACAUGCAUCAUUAAGUCACUAAUUUAAUUGUUCUUACCUAAUUUAACCACCUAAUUGCACUUAAUUAAAUCUAACCAACCCUUAGGCAUAAUUAGCAAACUAAGAAAGCAUUAGUGAGUAAAACUCACUUGGUAAAAGCAGAGACCGAAUCACCGCGACGGCGGCCGAAAUCGGGCUUUCGACAACACAGGCAGGCUUGGACCGGGCCUUGAACUUGGUCCAACAAAUCUCAGCCCAACUGAGAUUUGUUCUUGCUUUUGGGUUGGACCCAAGUUGGGUUGGGCCUGCUGAAGAUGGGCUUCAAGUUGUGGGCUGGGCUGCAAUUGAUUUGCUAUAAUUGGGCCCACUCUUGGGCUGUCCUCGCGGGCUUCUGAUUUUGCUGGGCUUCGAAGUUGAAUUCACUGGGCCUGACUUGCAGCCCAAAUGGACUAAAUCUUAGCGGCCCAAGACGUUGGAAUUUGCUGGGCUGAGUGAGGGCUGAUGCUUCGUGAAUGGGCUGCUCAUGGCCUGGACUUCUUGCGGACUCACGGGCUGGAGAAAUGCUUCGCGCGAGAGACACGGACGAACGACAGGGGGAAGCUACUUCAUGCGAUUGACGUUGCUAGAGAAGACCGAGGCUGGACUCGCUGGCGUCUUCGAGCUGGCCGAAAUCCACGAGAUGGAGAUGGUUGGAUCGACUGACGCUGGCAGCUGGGAGACAUGUGCUGCUGCUUGGUCAACAUAAGCUUAGGUGCUUGCUGUUGUUGACCAAAGAUGAUGUGUGGAGAGGCGCCUGGCUUCUCUGGACGUCGUGGCUGAAGAUGACUGCACUCAGUGGAGCUGGACGAAGCGCAGCAACUUCAGUGAACACCUGGGGACUUCGCUUGAAGGGAUUCACCGCAGUUGACCGAGAAGGCAAAAGAAGGUGGAGCAGGGUGAGCUGGUCGUGCGAGAGGGGCAAGCGGCAAAGGAAGAGAGACCACGAUUCUGGUCUUCGGUUAGGGAGGGCUUUGACCGAGCAGCUUGGAGAUUCGGCAGCUUAGAGGAAAAUCGUGGGGGCUUCGAGCAAUUUUGACUGUGGGCGUGAGAGAGGGCAGAAAUGGAGAGUUUGUCUGCCAAGGUAAAUAAAGAAAGGAAGGCAAGGGGCUGCUCGUAGGGAAGGCAUCCGAUUGAAGAAGAUGGAAAGAAUUGGGGAAAAAG
RNAcentral lists this long non-coding RNA (2447 nucleotides) under Eucalyptus grandis. RNAcentral's name for it is "long non-coding RNA (EGRA_LNC005384)". The record is from RNAcentral. Lineage: Eukaryota; Viridiplantae; Streptophyta; Magnoliopsida; Myrtales; Myrtaceae.